UGCUAACACAUGCAAGUCGAACGAGAAAGCUCUUCGGAGCGAGUAGAGUGGCGCACGGGUGAGUAAUGCAUAGGAACGUACCCUGAAGUGGGGAAUAACCACUGGAAACGGUGGCUAAUACCGCAUGUGAUCUUCGGAUUAAAGUUGGCUUCCUUUUGCUUCUAUUAAUAGAGAGUCUUGGUUCUUUUCAGAACAGGAAUUUCUGCUAAUAGAAGUGAAAUAGCUAGCGCUUUAGGAUCGGCCUAUGUCCCAUUAGCUUGUUGGUAGGGUAACGGCCUACCAAGGCUACGAUGGGUAGCUGGUCUGAGAGGACGAUCAGCCACACUGGGACUGAGACACGGCCCAGACUCCUGCGGGAGGCAGCAGUGGGGAAUUUUGCACAAUGGGCGCAAGCCUGAUGCAGCAACGCCGCGUGAGUGAAGAAGGCCCUUGGGUUGUAAAGCUCUUUCGACUGGGAAGCAGGGUAUAUAGGUAAAUAAUCUAUGUAUUUGACGGUACCAGUAUAAGAAGCACCGGCUAGUUUCGUGCCAGCAGCCGCGGUAAUACGAAAGGUGCGAGCGUUGUUCGGAUUGACUGGGCGUAAAGCGCGUGUAGGCGGUUUGGUAAGUCAGUUGUGAAAUCCCUGAGCUCAACUCAGGAACUGCAAUUGAAACUACCUUACUUGAAUGCUCGAGAGGUUGGUGGAAUUCCAGGUGUAGCAGUGAAAUGCGUAGAGAUCUGGAGGAACACCGGCGGCGAAGGCGGCCAACUGGCGGUGCAUUGACGCUGAGACGCGAAAGCGUGGGUAGCAAACAGGAUUAGAUACCCUGGUAGUCCACGCCGUAAACGAUGGAUACUAGGCGUGUGNAUAGGUUAACCUUCUGCGUGCCGUAGCUAACGCAUUAAGNNUCCCGCCUGGGGAGUACGGUCGCAAGGCUAAACUCAAAUGAAUUGAC
Molecule: ribosomal RNA, 935 nt
Filed under: uncultured bacterium
Lineage: Bacteria
Description: bacterial SSU rRNA
Rfam family: Bacterial small subunit ribosomal RNA
Source: RNAcentral